RNAcentral lists this ribosomal RNA (173 nucleotides) under Escherichia coli. Its description in RNAcentral is "partial 23S ribosomal RNA". The stretch from base 1 to 155 matches the Rfam family "Bacterial large subunit ribosomal RNA", at positions 2776 to 2925 of the family's 2925-position model. The record is from RNAcentral. Lineage: Bacteria; Pseudomonadati; Pseudomonadota; Gammaproteobacteria; Enterobacterales; Enterobacteriaceae.
AGCAUCUAAGCACGAAACUUGCCCCGAGAUGAGUUCUCCCUGACCCUUUAAGGGUCCUGAAGGAACGUUGAAGACGACGACGUUGAUAGGCCGGGUGUGUAAGCGCAGCGAUGCGUUGAGCUAACCGGUACUAAUGAACCGUGAGGCUUAACCUUACAACGCCGAAGGUGUUU